CAGAGCGUAGCUAAGACAGAAAAGCAUCUCCCUUACACUGAGAAGUCCCCCGUGCAAAUCGGAGCGCCCUGAUGCCCAACAGCUAGCCCCCAAAGCCAGAACCAACAAAUCAACAUUAAUACCCCUUAAUACACUAUUACUGUGUUAAACAAACCAUUUUUCCCCCCAAGUAUGUGCGACAGAAAAGGGCCUGUGGAGCGAUAGAGAAAGUACCGCAAGGGAACGCUGAAAGAGAAGUGAAACAACCCAGUGAAGCCUAAAAAAGCAGAGAUCUAACCUCGUACCUUUUGCAUCAUGAUUUAGCCAGUGUAACCCAAGCAAAGCGUGCUUUAGUUUGAUAACCCGAAACUAAGUGAGCUACUCCAAGACAGCCUAUUAAUAGGGCAAACCCGUCUCUGUGGCAAAAGAGUGGGAAGAGCUUUGAGUAGAGGUGACAGACCUACCGAACUUAGUUAUAGCUGGUUGCCUGAGAAUUGGAUAGAAGUUCAGCCUCCCGAAUUCUUCGCUCCUCUCAGUUUUACCCUAUCUGAUACCUUAAGAAGUCGAGAGAGUUAGUCAAAGGGGGUACAGCCCCUUUGAACCAAGAUACAACUUUUCCAGGAGGGUAAAGAUCAUAAUUAUAGAAGGUAAAAUAUUUUGGUGGGCCUAAAAGCAGCCAUCCCCUCAGAAAGCGUUAAAGCUCAGAUAUACUUCUACCCCCUUUAUAAGGAUCAUCAAAUCUCACCCCCCUAAUUUUACCAGGCCGUCCCAUGCAAACAUGGGAGCGACCCUGCUAAUAUGAGUAAUAAGAGAGCCCAAGACUCUCUCCUUGCACGCGUGUAAAUCGGAACGGACACCCCGCCGAACCUUAACGGCCCCAACCCCAGAGGGCACUGAAUAACAGACCAAAGAACCAGAAAAACAUUCAAUAGACCAACCGUUAACCCUACACAGGCGUGCCCCUAAGGAAAGACUAAAAGAAAGAGAAGGAACUCGGCAAACACAUCAAGCCUCGCCUGUUUACCAAAAACAUCGCCUCUUGUAGAACUUAGAAAUAAGAGGUCCCGCCUGCCCUGUGACUAUAAGUUUAACGGCCGCGGUAUUUUGACCGUGCGAAGGUAGCGCAAUCACUUGUCUUUUAAAUGGAGACCUGUAUGAAAUGGCAUAACGAGGGCUUAAC
Molecule: ribosomal RNA, 1159 nt
Filed under: Percina fulvitaenia (Ozark logperch)
Lineage: Eukaryota; Metazoa; Chordata; Actinopteri; Perciformes; Percidae
Description: partial large subunit ribosomal RNA
Rfam family: Bacterial large subunit ribosomal RNA (bases 261-1159)
Source: RNAcentral